This 3225-nucleotide long non-coding RNA is filed under the name Salvia miltiorrhiza (redroot sage). RNAcentral's name for it is "long non-coding RNA (SMIL_LNC012164)". Lineage: Eukaryota; Viridiplantae; Streptophyta; Magnoliopsida; Lamiales; Lamiaceae. The record is from RNAcentral.
UAAAGCCGUCACCCAUGAGGCCAUGACAUAUACAACUCCAACCGACUCCACUUAUUAUUCAAACAAACCAUCAGAAAAGACUGCACUCACCACUUACAACAACAACAAUUGAACCUGGGCUGAAAAUGAAAUGCAGUCACAUUUCAAGCUCAAUAUUAAGUAAACAAAAAACUUCCAAUUUCAGAUUUAUACACUGCAACUACUAUAUUUACAAAUCAAGCUCCCCCUAACAUGCAUAAAACUACUGGUUUUUCUCAUAUUUCCACAACCAAAAUAUAGCUCAUCUCUUUCAUGAGAUGGCUUCUGCCGUGUCGAGAGCUCAUUUAUAUCUCAGAUAGUCAUUGCAGCCAAGACAGAGCUUAUCUUUUCAUUUCUUCAACAGCCGCACAGCAAGCAGAGUAUUAACUAACUGAACCUUAAAAAAGGAUCGCAUCGAACCUGAGAUAGUAUGACAUAUGAGAAUCAUUUUGCAUUUCCUUAGAUUGCGUCUGCAUUCAGAUGGCAUCCGAAACUGCAACAGUUAUAGAAGGUUAACAUUAAAAACUAGCAAGUGUAUACAGUGCAACUGUGGGGCUAUGUACUAGAUGAAGAUGAUCCACCUCGUUCUCACAUUUCUUCAGCCUGCAAAAGGAUGUUCGCAUUGAGCUACUCACCAAACAUGAAGAAGCAGGCACACUUGUCGCCUAUGUGACCUUAUUGUCAAAGAAACUUCUUUGACGUAAGGCGCAAGACAAAAUUAUACACAUGCAUUUUAGUUAUGCCUAAAGCCGAACCAUGUAAUGACUACGUGAAUAAGGGCAAGAACCUGCAUUGUCAGAACAUAUAAAGAGAAGAACUCAUAGCAACAACAACUAUAUCCCCAUCCCCUUUUGUGGGGUCGGCUACAUGAAUCACGUUACGCAGUUGUGAUCGGUAAAUACAAGAUUGUCCAAGUCUAAUGAAAAAAUAACAUUUAAUGCUAAAUAGAAAUUCAAUGAACAAAAAACAUGGAAAAUAGGUUAGUCUUGACAAGUGAACGUAAGCAUGACAACAACUUCCACGUGUACACGAGUGAUGCAAAAAUCAGACAUAACAUAACCACAGUUUCCUUGUCGAGAACUUCAAGAAAUCGUAAGAAAGUACAACAACAUCGAGGUAUCAUGAUAUAAAAUGAAAAUAAUGAAAAUAUCCAAAGUUCGAGCAGAAGAGCUUAUCCAUUCUUUCAUGGUAGGACGAAGCUUAAAAGAUCCAUGAACAAUGUAACGAGCAAAUUGGUUGUUCAUAUAGGGCAGGGCAUUGAAAACCAUUUAAUAUAUUUCCAUAUCUACGUAACUUUGUAUCAAGGUAUCACCAAAGAUAAGCAUUUAAUGCCCAAUAGAAAUUCAAUGAACAAAAACAUGGAAAAUAGGUUAGUACUCCUUGACAAGUGAACGUAAGCAUGACAACAGCUUCCCCGUGUACACCAGUGAUGCUAAAUCACACGUAACCACAGUGUCCAUGUCGACAACUUCAAAGAAAUCAUAAGAAAGAACAACAACAUCGAGGUAUCAUGAUGUGAAAUGAAAAUAAUGAAAUUAUCCAAGGUUCGAGCAAAAGAGCUUAUCCAAGCUUUCAUGGUAGGACGAAGCUUAAAAGAUCCAUAUAUAAUGUAAUGAAUUGUUAAUAUAGGGCAUUGCAUGGAAAACCAUUUAAUAUUUUCCCAUAUCUACGUAUCCUUUUAUCAAGGUAUCGCUGAACCUGUCAUGAGAAGAUCUAUCUCCUUAUCCUGUCAUUAAUAUGCGGAGAAGAAUAGUAAGAGUAAUCUUUAUUCAUCAAAAUUUAAAUCAUUAUUUACCGAUCAUGACUCAAGACUCUACUUCCCGAGCCUCGAAUUCAGUAGAAAUGCAGCAGAAUAGCAAUCAAUUAUUAUCUAACUACACAGGGGGGGAAUCACUCGCAUAGACAUAUAAAGAGAAAAACAAAUCUAUACCCAAAAAUCUAAAUCAAUUUCAAGAAACAGAAGGAAACACAGAUAAUCGUGUGGAGAACAAACCAUUGAGCAAACUUGUAGUAGAAAUUCAGCUAGUGAUAAUCAGAAAGAAUUAUAGGCAUCUUAAUCUUACUCCUUAAACUAAAAUUUCACGAAUUUGAGCACUAAAUGGAACUAUGAACAAUUGCAGUAAUCUCAUCUCAUACUACUAAUAAUUUUAACAUCCACGUAGCAGCAAAAAAAUAAGGUGAAAUGCGACAACACUCAACCACCACAAAACAAAUCACAACAAAGCACGAAAUAAAGAAAGGAAUCUAGGGCUUCCGGGAAAAAAAUUGGAUUUUCGGAAACCCUAAAAUUUGAGAAAAAGUUAACAAUUCUAAUAAUAUGAGCACCAAAUAAAAUCAGAACAAAAUUGCAAUAAUCUCAGAGCUACCGCCAGAAAAAUGCUCUAAUAAAUUAAGGAAAUUAUGUUCUAACAUCAUGUAGCAGCACAAAAAAAGGUGAAAAGCAACAAGAACAUUCUCGAAUCUCACUAGACUCGACCACAAUAAACAAGAGAUUCGAUAUUUUAACUUGUUAAAGCAUGAAAUGAGGAAAAUAAAUUAAUUUCAGCUAGGGCUUCCGAAACGAUUCGAUUUUUCAACUAGCUAAGAAGGGGUAAAAAAUCGAAAGCAAAUUUUCAGAAACCCUAAUUUGGGAAAGUGCCAAAUCGGGAAAGAAUCUCUACAGGAAGCAAACUCAGUGAGUCGGUCGCGAGUCACCGAUCAGAGAUCUGUUCCAUUCUCAAACUCAGACGCGGAGGCAUCCAAUCACCGCCUCUUACCAUUUCACGCCAUCAAAGGAGAAUAACAAGCCUGACAAAUAAGACUUCUUUCUUCCUUGGGAAAGAGAAAGGGGGGCAAAAGAGAAAGAAAGAGAGUAGUGGACUAUUUUCACUACUCACUAGUCCCUUUUGUGUGCCCCUUUCCACAUUAAGGAAGACUGGUUUGAGACGAUCGCCAUGAAAGACGUAUUUGUCAAGCUUGAAAUUCUCCCUCGAUUCAGUCUGAAAAAAGUAUUAGGCGAAGAUAUGAACCUACUCCGCAUCUAAAUAGGAGAAGGGACCAGAUCUGAUCGUCAUGAAAAUUCAAGAUUAUUGUAAUAUUUUGAUGGAAUUGAGAGAUGAAUGGAAUUAAAUAAGAAAAAUUGAGCUAAAAAAAGAUGACAUAAAAGGAGUUGGAUUUAUCUAUUCUUGUGACUUUAGGGCUCUAUAGAAGUUGUUGAAGAAAGCAAAU